Molecule: non-coding RNA, 312 nt
Organism: Ceratotherium simum simum (southern white rhinoceros)
Lineage: Eukaryota; Metazoa; Chordata; Mammalia; Perissodactyla; Rhinocerotidae
Source: RefSeq, a predicted model, not a curated record
GGGAGAAGAGGGGGCUGGAGGCAGGAGGUGGCCCAGUGGCAGCAUAGCAGCCAGACCUGAAGGCAACUGUCCUCACUUGCGCUGUACCUAUCAGCUAACUGGGCUGACCAUGUGGGACCUUGGUGCCUGUGGUGACCAGCAGAACUCCUGGGGCUGGCUCCUUGCACAGCCCUGCAGAUGGGAUGAUGGGGUAGGAUCCUAGUUCAGGCUAUUUUGGCCUUAGACAGUAGAGAAUGCUACAUCAGAGGGCAGAGAGUGAGGAAUCUCCCAGAGUGGUCACCAUGGAUGGGCUUAGGUAUGCAAAGGGUCUCC